CUACACGACCGUACCGCAAACCGACACUGGUGCGCGAGAUGAGUAUUCUAAGGCGCUUGAGAGAACUCAGGAGAAGGAACUCGGCAAAUUGACACCGUAACUUCGGAAGAAGGUGUGCCCUAUUAGUGUGAAGUGAACAACGGAGCAUGAAUGGGUUGCAAAAAAUCGGUGGCUGCGACUGUUUAUUAAAAACACAGCACUCUGCAAACACGAAAGUGGACGUAUAGGGUGUGACGCCUGCCCGGUGCUGGAAGAUUAAAUGAUGGGGUGCAAGCUCUUGAUUGAAGUCCCAGUAAACGGCGGCCGUAACAAUAACGGUCCUAAGGUAGCGAAAUUCCUUGUCGGGUAAGUUCCGACCUGCACGAAUGGCGUAACGAUGGCCACACUGUCUCCUCCUGAGACUCAGCGAAGUUGAAAUGUUUGUGAUGAUGCAAUCUCCCCGCGGAAAGACGGAAAGACCCCAUGAACCUUUACUGUAGCUUUGUAUUGGACUUUGAACAGAUCUGUGUAGGAUAGGUGGGAGGCUUUGAAGCCAGGACGCUAGUUCUGGUGGAGCCAACGUUGAAAUACCACCCUGGUGUGUUUGAGGUUCUAACCUAGGUCCAUUAUCUGGAUCGGGGACAGUGCAUGGUAGGCAGUUUGACUGGGGCGGUCUCCUCCCAAAGCGUAACGGAGGAGUUCGAAGGUACGCUAGUUACGGUCGGACAUCGUGACGAUAGUGCAAUGGCAUAAGCGUGCUUAACUGCGAGACUGACAAGUCGAGCAGAUGCGAAAGCAGGACAUAGUGAUCCGGUGGUUCUGUAUGGAAGGGCCAUCGCUCAACGGAUAAAAGGUACUCUGGGGAUAACAGGCUGAUACCGCCCAAGAGUUCAUAUCGACGGCGGUGUUUGGCACCUCGAUGUCGGCUCAUCUCAUCCUGGGGCUGUAGCCGGUCCCAAGGGUAUGGCUGUUCGCCAUUUAAAGAGGUACGUGAGCUGGGUUUAAAACGUCGUGAGACAGUUUGGUCCCUAUCUUCCGUGGGCGCUGCAGAUUUGAGGAAGCCUGCUCCUAGUACGAGAGGACCGGAGUGGACACACCUCUGGUGUAUCGGUUGUCACGCCAGUGGCAUUGCCGAGUAGCUAAGUGUGGAAGAGAUAACCGCUGAAAGCAUCUAAGCGGGAAACUCGUUUCAAGAUGAGAUCUGCCGGGGCCUUGAGCCCCCUGAAGAGUCGUUCAAGACCAGGACGUUGAUAGGUCAGGUGUGGAAGCGCAGUAAUGCGUUAAGCUAACUGAUACUAAUUGCUCGUGCGGCUUGACCA
This 1298-nucleotide ribosomal RNA is filed under the name metagenome. Its description in RNAcentral is "bacterial LSU rRNA". It matches the Rfam family "Bacterial large subunit ribosomal RNA", at positions 1634 to 2925 of the family's 2925-position model. The record is from RNAcentral.